Molecule: ribosomal RNA, 254 nt
Filed under: uncultured bacterium
Lineage: Bacteria
Description: partial 16S ribosomal RNA
Rfam family: Bacterial small subunit ribosomal RNA
Source: RNAcentral
UACGUAGGGUGCAAGCGUUGUCCGGAAUUAUUGGGCGUAAAGAGCUCGUAGGCGGCUUGUCGCGUCGGAUGUGAAAGCCCGGGGCUUAACUCCGGGUCUGCAUUCGAUACGGGCAGGCUAGAGUUCGGUAGGGGAGAUCGGAAUUCCUGGUGUAGCGGUGAAAUGACGCAGAUAUCAGGAGGAACACCGGUGGCGAAGGCGGAUCUCUGGGCCGAUACUGACGCUGAGGAGCGAAAGCGUGGGGAGCGAACAGG